Molecule: long non-coding RNA, 235 nt
Filed under: Elaeis guineensis (African oil palm)
Lineage: Eukaryota; Viridiplantae; Streptophyta; Magnoliopsida; Arecales; Arecaceae
Description: long non-coding RNA (EGUI_LNC080756)
Source: RNAcentral
GUAUGUCCUAAAAGCCAAUAUGGUUGACAUAUUAUAAUAUAUUUAGGAUACAAUUUUAUACUUAAUAUAUUGAUAUGAUCAAUAAAAGGAUAAGUUCUUUUUCAUUCAAGUAUAAUGUAUCCUUGAAUCGUCCAUGAAAUUAGUUUCGAUACAUAUUCUCAAGGUAUUGAGAAUUAGAGACAUGUAUUUAAUUCUUAAAUAUUCUCGAUCAUAAGAUCAUCAUGAGGAUGAUGAU